RNAcentral lists this ribosomal RNA (253 nucleotides) under uncultured bacterium. RNAcentral's name for it is "partial 16S ribosomal RNA". It matches the Rfam family "Bacterial small subunit ribosomal RNA", at positions 524 to 776 of the family's 1533-position model. The record is from RNAcentral.
UACGUAGGGAUCAAGCGUUGUUCGGAUUUACUGGGCGUAAAGGGCGCGUAGGCGGCACGAUAAGUCACGUGUGAAAUCUCCGGGCUUAACUCGGAACGGUCAAGUGAUACUGUCGCGCUAGAGUGCGGAAGGGGCAAUCAGAAUUCUUGGUGUAGCGGUGAAAUGCGUAGAUAUCAAGAGGAAUACCAGAGGUGAAGACGGGUUGCUAGGCCGACACUGACGCUGAAGCGCGAAAGCCAGGGGAGCAAACGGG